This 385-nucleotide ribosomal RNA is filed under the name uncultured bacterium. RNAcentral describes it as "bacterial SSU rRNA". It matches the Rfam family "Bacterial small subunit ribosomal RNA", at positions 355 to 757 of the family's 1533-position model. The record is from RNAcentral.
UGGGGAAUCUUGCACAAUGGAGGAAACUCUGAUGCAGCGACGCCGCGUGGACGAUGAAGCCCUUCGGGGUGUAAAGUCCUUUCGACCGGAACGAUAAUGACGGUACCGGUGGAAGAAGCUGCGGCUAACUACGUGCCAGCAGCCGCGGUAAUACGUAGGCAGCAAGCGUUGUUCGGAAUUACUGGGCGUAAAGAGUUCGUAGGCGGUGCGGCAAGUUUGGUGUGAAAUCUCCCGGCUCAACUGGGAGGGUGCGCCGAAUACUGCCGUGCUCGAGUAUAGGAGAGGUAAGCGGAAUUCCUGGUGUAGCGGUGAAAUGCGUAGAUAUCAGGAGGAACACCUGUGGUGUAGACGGCUUACUGGACUAUAACUGACGCUGAGGAACGAA